Molecule: ribosomal RNA, 621 nt
Filed under: uncultured bacterium
Lineage: Bacteria
Description: bacterial SSU rRNA
Rfam family: Bacterial small subunit ribosomal RNA
Source: RNAcentral
CCUACGGGAGGCAGCAGUGGGGAAUUUUGGACAAUGGGCGCAAGCCUGAUCCAGCCAUGCCGCGUGCGGGAAGAAGGCCUUCGGGUUGUAAACCGCUUUUGUCAGGGAAGAAAAUGUUCUGGAUAAUACCUGGGACUCAUGACGGUACCUGAAGAAUAAGCACCGGCUAACUACGUGCCAGCAGCCGCGGUAAUACGUAGGGUGCAAGCGUUAAUCGGAAUUACUGGGCGUAAAGCGUGCGCAGGCGGUUAUGCAAGACAGAGGUGAAAUCCCCGGGCUCAACCUGGGAACUGCCUUUGUGACUGCAUAGCUAGAGUACGGUAGAGGGGGAUGGAAUUCCGCGUGUAGCAGUGAAAUGCGUAGAUAUGCGGAGGAACACCGAUGGCGAAGGCAAUCCCCUGGACCUGUACUGACGCUCAUGCACGAAAGCGUGGGGAGCAAACAGGAUUAGAUACCCUGGUAGUCCACGCCCUAAACGAUGUCAACUGGUUGUUGGGAGGGUUUCUUCUCAGUAACGUAGCUAACGCGUGAAGUUGACCGCCUGGGGAGUACGGCCGCGAAGGUUGAAACUCAAAGAGUAGUGCGUGNGAGAGCGACGACGACGACGACGGAGGGAGGAGG